This 575-nucleotide ribosomal RNA is filed under the name Scytinostroma sp. 2 KUC20130725-13. Its description in RNAcentral is "eukaryotic LSU rRNA". It matches the Rfam family "Eukaryotic large subunit ribosomal RNA", at positions 66 to 648 of the family's 3401-position model. The record is from RNAcentral. Lineage: Eukaryota; Fungi; Basidiomycota; Agaricomycetes; Russulales; Lachnocladiaceae.
UAACAAGGAUUCCCCUAGUAACUGCGAGUGAAGCGGGAUGAGCUCAAAUUUGAAAUCUGGCAGUGUAACAGCUGUCCGAGUUGUAAUUUAGAGAAGUGUUUUCUGUGCCAGACCGUGUACAAGUCUCCUGGAAUGGGGCGUCAUAGAGGGUGAGAAUCCCGUCUUUGACACGGCUCUCUACUGGUGCUAUGUGAUACACUCUCAAAGAGUCGAGUUGUUUGGGAAUGCAGCUCAAAAUGGGUGGUGAACUCCAUCUAAAGCUAAAUAUUGGCGAGAGACCGAUAGCGAACAAGUACCGUGAGGGAAAGAUGAAAAGCACUUUGGAAAGAGAGUGAAACAGUACGUGAAAUUGCUGAAAGGGAAACGAUUGAAGUCAGUCACAUUUGCUAGAAUUCAACCCUUAUGGGUGUAUUUUCUUAGUUGAAUGGGUCAGCAUCACUUUUGGCCAUUGGAAAAGGGCGAGAGGAAUGUGGCACUCUUUUAUUAGGGUGUGUUAUAGCCUCUGUUGUCAUAUACAGUGGGUUCAGGAGUGAGGAAUGCCUUUGUAGGAUGCUGGCAUAAUGGCUUUAAACGAC